This 397-nucleotide ribosomal RNA is filed under the name Grylloblatta gurneyi. Its description in RNAcentral is "partial 12S ribosomal RNA". Lineage: Eukaryota; Metazoa; Arthropoda; Insecta; Grylloblattodea; Grylloblattidae. The record is from RNAcentral.
UAUUAUUUUAAAUGUAAUUAAUAACACUUGGGUAGUAUUAGAUGUUUCUUGAAACCCAAAGAAUUUGGCGGUAUUUUAGUCUUUUCAGAGGAAUCUGUUUUUUUAUCGAUAUUCCACGUUUUAUCUUGCUUUACUUUGUUAAUCAGUAUGUAUACCGCCGUUAUCAGAAUGUUUUUUUAGAAUAAUAAUUUUCUUUAUCUUUUAUUGUGGUCAAUUUCAGGUCAAGGUGCAGUUUAUAGUAAAGUUUAAAUGGAUUACAAUAAAAUUUAUUUAUAAUGGAUUUUUAUAUGAAAUUGUAGUUUGAAGGUGAAUUUGAUAGUAAUUUAUUUUAUAAUAUUUAUUUGAUUUUAGCUCUAAAAUAUGUACAUAUCGCCCGUCGCUCUCAUUAUAAGGUGAG